GAGUUUGAUCAUGGCUCAGAUUGAACGCUAGCGGGAUGCUUUACACAUGCAAGUCGAACGGCAGCACGAGAGAAGCUUGCUUUUCUUGGUGGCGAGUGGCGAACGGGUGAGUAAUAUAUCGGAACGUGCCCAGUAGCGGGGGAUAACUGGCCAAAAGGUCAGCUAAUACCGCAUACGCCCUACGGGGGAAAGGGGGGGAUCGCAAGACCUCUCACUAUUGGAGCGGCCGAUAUCAGAUUAGCUGGUUGGUGGGGUAAAGGCCUACCAAGGCAACGAUCUGUAGCUGGUUUGAGAGGACGACCAGCCACACUGGGACUGAGACACGGCCCAGACUCCUACGGGAGGCAGCAGUGGGGAAUUUUGGACAAUGGGGGGAACCCUGAUCCAGCCAUCCCGCGUGUGCGAUGAAGGCCUUCGGGUUGUAAAGCACUUUUGGCAGGGAAGAAACGGCCCGGGAUAAUACCCUGGGCUAAUGACGGUACCUGCAGAAUAAGCACCGGCUAACUACGUGCCAGCAGCCGCGGUAAUACGUAUGGUGCAAGCGUUAAUCGGAAUUACUGGGCGUAAAGCGUGCGCAGGCGGUUCGGAAAGAAAGGUGUGAAAUCCCGGGGCUUACCCUCUGAACUGCACUUUCUACUGCAGGGCUAGAGUACGUCAGAGGGGGGGUAGAAUUCCACGCGUAGCAGUGAAAUGCGUAGAGAUGUGGAGGAAUACCGAUGGGGAAGGCAGCCCCAUGGGAUGAUACUGACGCUCAUGCACGAAAGCGUGGGGAGCAAACAGGAUUAGAUACCUUGGUAGUCCACGCCGUAAACGAUGUCAACUAGCUGUUGGGGUUUAUUAACCUUAGUAGCGCAGCUAACGCGUGAAGUUGACCGCCUGGGGAGUACGGUCGCAAGAUUAAAACUCAAAGGAAUUGACGGGGACCCGCACAAGCGGUGGAUGAUGUGGAUUAAUUCGAUGCAACGCGAAAAACCUUACCUACCCUUGACAUGUCUGGAAGAUUCAAGAGAUUGGAUUGUGCUCGCAAGAGAACCGGAACACAGGUGCUGCAUGGCUGUCGUCAGCUCGUGUCGUGAGAUGUUGGGUUAAGUCCCGCAACGAGCGCAACCCUUGUCAUUAGUUGCUACAUUCAGUUGGGCACUCUAGUGAGACUGCCGGUGACAAACCGGAGGAAGGUGGGGAUGACGUCAAGUCCUCAUGGCCCUUAUGGGUAGGGCUUCACACGUCAUACAAUGGUCGGGACAGAGGGAUGCCAAGCCGCGAGGUGGAGCCAAUCUCAGAAACCCGAUCGUAGUCCGGAUCGCAGUCUGCAACUCGACUGCGUGAAGUCGGAAUCGCUAGUAAUCGCGGAUCAGCAUGCCGCGGUGAAUACGUUCCCG
Molecule: ribosomal RNA, 1379 nt
Filed under: uncultured bacterium
Lineage: Bacteria
Description: 16S ribosomal RNA
Rfam family: Bacterial small subunit ribosomal RNA
Source: RNAcentral